RNAcentral lists this ribosomal RNA (465 nucleotides) under Vreelandella stevensii. RNAcentral describes it as "partial 16S ribosomal RNA". It matches the Rfam family "Bacterial small subunit ribosomal RNA", at positions 338 to 795 of the family's 1533-position model. Lineage: Bacteria; Pseudomonadati; Pseudomonadota; Gammaproteobacteria; Oceanospirillales; Halomonadaceae. The record is from RNAcentral.
CCUACGGGGGGCAGCAGUGGGGAAUAUUGGACAAUGGGGGCAACCCUGAUCCAGCCAUGCCGCGUGUGUGAAGAAGGCCCUCGGGUUGUAAAGCACUUUCAGUGAGGAAGAACGCCUGGUGGUUAAUACCCAUCAGGAAAGACAUCACUCACAGAAGAAGCACCGGCUAACUCCGUGCCAGCAGCCGCGGUAAUACGGAGGGUGCGAGCGUUAAUCGGAAUUACUGGGCGUAAAGCGCGCGUAGGUGGCUUGAUAAGUCGGUUGUGAAAGCCCCGGGCUCAACCUGGGAACGGCAUCCGGAACUGUCAAGCUAGAGUGCAGGAGAGGAAGGUAGAAUUCCCGGUGUAGCGGUGAAAUGCGUAGAGAUCGGGAGGAAUACCAGUGGCGAAGGCGGCCUUCUGGACUGACACUGACACUGAGGUGCGAAAGCGUGGGUAGCAAACAGGAUUAGAUACCCCUGUAGUC